RNAcentral lists this ribosomal RNA (425 nucleotides) under uncultured bacterium. Its description in RNAcentral is "partial 16S ribosomal RNA". It matches the Rfam family "Bacterial small subunit ribosomal RNA", at positions 354 to 796 of the family's 1533-position model. The record is from RNAcentral.
GUGGGGAAUAUUGGGCAAUGGGCGAAAGCCUGACCCAGCAACGCCGCGUGAAGGAAGAAGGUCUUCGGAUCGUAAACUUCUAUCCUUGGUGAAGAUAAUGACGGUAGCCGAGAAGGAAGCCCCGGCUAACUACGUGCCAGCAGCCGCGGUAAUACGUAGGGGGCAAGCGUUGUCCGGAAUGAUUGGGCGUAAGGGGCGCGUAGGCGGCCUGGUAAGUCUGGAGUGAAAGUCAUGCUUUUAAGGUGGGAAUUGCUUUGGAUACUGUCGGGCUUGAGUGCAGGAGAGGUAAGUGGAAUUCCCAGUGUAGCGGUGAAAUGCGUAGAGAUCGGGAGGAACACCAGUGGCGAAGGCGACUUACUGGACUGUAACUGACGCUGAGGCGCGAAAGUGUGGGGAGCAAACAGGAUUAGAAACCCGGGUAGUCC